RNAcentral lists this ribosomal RNA (457 nucleotides) under uncultured Comamonadaceae bacterium. RNAcentral's name for it is "bacterial SSU rRNA". It matches the Rfam family "Bacterial small subunit ribosomal RNA", at positions 342 to 791 of the family's 1533-position model. The record is from RNAcentral. Lineage: Bacteria; Pseudomonadati; Pseudomonadota; Betaproteobacteria; Burkholderiales; Comamonadaceae.
CGGGGGGCAGCAGUGGGGAAUUUUGGACAAUGGGCGCAAGCCUGAUCCAGCAAUGCCGCGUGCAGGAUGAAGGCCUUCGGGUUGUAAACUGCUUUUGUACGGAACGAAACGGUCCUUUCUAAUACAAGGGGCUAAUGACGGUACCGUAAGAAUAAGCACCGGCUAACUACGUGCCAGCAGCCGCGGUAAUACGUAGGGUGCGAGCGUUAAUCGGAAUUACUGGGCGUAAAGCGUGCGCAGGCGGUUUUGUAAGACAGAUGUGAAAUCCCCGGGCUCAACCUGGGACCUGCAUUUGUGACUGCAAGGCUAGAGUACGGUAGAGGGGGAUGGAAUUCCGCGUGUAGCAGUGAAAUGCGUAGAUAUGCGGAGGAACACCGAUGGCGAAGGCAAUCCCCUGGACCUGUACUGACGCUCAUGCACGAAAGCGUGGGGAGCAAACAGGAUUAGAUACCCGCGU